UAACCUGCUAAAUAGUUAGGUCAACGAUUGUUGAUCGUCAACUUCUUAGAGGGACUAUUGACUAUUAGUCAAUGGAAGUUUGAGGCAAUAACAGGUCUGUGAUGCCCUUAGAUGUUCUGGGCCGCACGCGCGCUACACUGAUCAAGUCAACGAGUUUACAACCUUGGCCGGAAGGUCUGGGUAAUCUUUUGAAACUUGAUCGUGCUGGGGAUAGUCCAUUGCAAUUAUUGGACUUCAACGAGGAAUUCCUAGUAAGCGUGAGUCAUCAGCUCGCGUUGAUUACGUCCCUGCCCUUUGUACACACCGCCCGUCGCU
RNAcentral lists this ribosomal RNA (315 nucleotides) under uncultured fungus. RNAcentral's name for it is "SSU rRNA". It matches the Rfam family "Eukaryotic small subunit ribosomal RNA", at positions 1344 to 1680 of the family's 1831-position model. The record is from RNAcentral. Lineage: Eukaryota; Fungi.